AACACGUAGGUAACCUGCCCAUGUGCCCGGGAUAACUUCUGGAAACGGAUGCUAAAACCGGAUAGGUAGCAGGCAAGCAUUUGACUGCUAUUAAAGUGGCUAAGGCCAUGAACAUGGAUGGACCUGCGGUGCAUUAGCUAGUUGGUGAGGUAACGGCCCACCAAGGCGACGAUGCAUAGCCGGCCUGAGAGGGCGGACGGCCACAUUGGGAUUGAGACACGGCCCAAACUCCUACGGGAGGCAGCAUG
Molecule: ribosomal RNA, 248 nt
Filed under: uncultured bacterium
Lineage: Bacteria
Description: partial 16S ribosomal RNA
Rfam family: Bacterial small subunit ribosomal RNA
Source: RNAcentral